RNAcentral lists this small RNA (406 nucleotides) under Pongo abelii (Sumatran orangutan). RNAcentral describes it as "processed transcript". Lineage: Eukaryota; Metazoa; Chordata; Mammalia; Primates; Hominidae. The record is from RNAcentral.
UUCUGUUUCCUGCUGCUUUCUUGCUUCAUAUUUGAAGGGAGGAUUCAGACCUAUCCAGUUUUUCCAGAGGCCUCAAAUACAGCCUCCUAGAGCUACCAUCCCGAACAGCAGUCCUUCCAUUCGUCCUGGUGCACAGACACCCACUGCAGUGUACCAGGCUAAUCAGCACAUCAUGAUGGUUAACCAUCUGCCCAUGCCGUACCCAGUGCCCCAGGGGCCUCAGUACUGUAUACCACAGUACCGUCAUAGUGGCCCUCCUUAUGUUGGGCCCCCACAACAAUAUCCAGUUCAACCACCUGGGCCGGGUCCUUUUUAUCCUGGACCAGGACCUGGGGACUUCCCCAAUGCUUAUGGAACGCCUUUUUACCCAAGUCAGCCAGUGUACCAGUCAGCACCUAUCAUAGUG